UGGCGGCGUGCCUAAUACAUGCAAGUCGAACGGUCUUUUCUAUGGAAGCUUGCUUCCACUGAGAAGAUAGUGGCGAACGGGUGAGUAACACGUGGGUAACCUGCCCAUAAGAGGGGGAUAACAUCCGGAAACGGGUGCUAAUACCGCAUAGUUUUCUUGAUCGCAUGAUUGAGAAAGGAAAGACGGCCUUUGUGCUGUCGCUUAUGGAUGGACCCGCGGCGUAUUAGUUAGUUGGUGAGGUAACGGCUCACCAAGACGAUGAUACGUAGCCGACCUGAGAGGGUGAUCGGCCACAUUGGGACUGAGACACGGCCCAAACUCCUACGGGAGGCAGCAGUAGGGAAUCUUCCGCAAUGGACGAAAGUCUGACGGAGCAACGCCGCGUGAGUGAAAGAAGGUUUUCGGAUCGUAAAACUCUGUUGUCAGAGAAGAACAAGUUGGAGAGUAACUGCUCCAGCCUUGACGGUAUCUGACCAGAAAGCCACGGCUAACUACGUGCCAGCCGCCGC
RNAcentral lists this ribosomal RNA (509 nucleotides) under uncultured bacterium. Its description in RNAcentral is "bacterial SSU rRNA". It matches the Rfam family "Bacterial small subunit ribosomal RNA", at positions 37 to 518 of the family's 1533-position model. The record is from RNAcentral.